GGAAUGUGGCUCAGUACUAGAGCGCUUGCCUAGCAUGUAUGAAGCCCUUGGGUUUGAUUCCCAGCACUGCCA
RNAcentral lists this transfer RNA (72 nucleotides) under Ictidomys tridecemlineatus (thirteen-lined ground squirrel). RNAcentral's name for it is "Spermophilus tridecemlineatus (thirteen-lined ground squirrel) tRNA". It matches the Rfam family "tRNA". From Rfam's summary of the family: Transfer RNA (tRNA) molecules are approximately 80 nucleotides in length. Lineage: Eukaryota; Metazoa; Chordata; Mammalia; Rodentia; Sciuridae. The record is from Rfam by way of RNAcentral.